AAAAUUCUUAAAAACUAAAACUAACUCACCAUCACCCUCACCCAAAAUCCCUAAUUUUAAUCUCCCAAAAUCCCAAACGUUCUAGUGUCGAUAGCCCAACACCCUCGCCAGUCACAACCGUCCGGUGUCCACUAGAUCAAGUACGGGUUACUUCGACCACGGGUCAGUGAGUGCGCGGCACAUUUGCACUUCAAUUAUAUCGAUGAGCACAAGGCGCAACUUAUUUACUUCGAAAUUGUUCGAUGAGGCACUGGGUGUCAAAUUGGUGUGUUGGUUGGAUAUUGAUGUGUUGGCUGGAUUUGCGUAUUCGUUUGAGUCUGAGUCAGGUUAAUAGGGGUAUAAAAUGUGAUAUUUGAUAAAUGAUAUAUAAAUUGGAUUAAUAAUGUGACUUGGUAAUACAAAACUGAUUUACUAUAUAUGAAUAUUGAUAGUAUGUGAAAGAUUAUGCGAAUAUAUAUACGAGCCCGAAUGGCCGAUAUGGAAAUGUGGCAAAUCUAUAAAUUCUAUUCAAAAUUGAACAAUGAAUCGAAAUAAUGAUUGUCAUUAAAUUGAAAUUGGAUGUAUUGUUGAUAAAUAGAUGAAAUGGUAUGAAUUUGUUAUUAAAUUGAUUAAA
Gossypium raimondii (Peruvian cotton) is the source of this 613-nucleotide long non-coding RNA. RefSeq lists it as uncharacterized. The record is from RefSeq and is a predicted model, not a curated record. Lineage: Eukaryota; Viridiplantae; Streptophyta; Magnoliopsida; Malvales; Malvaceae. The transcript has 2 exons.